Vicia villosa (hairy vetch) is the source of this 2079-nucleotide long non-coding RNA. RefSeq lists it as uncharacterized. NCBI's taxonomy places the organism in Eukaryota, Viridiplantae, Streptophyta, Magnoliopsida, Fabales, Fabaceae. The record is from RefSeq and is a predicted model, not a curated record. The transcript is spliced from 6 exons.
ACCUUUUCCCUCUUUCUCACUCUUCGUUUUCAAGAACACAGCUUUUUACUCUCUCUCAUUUUUUCUCCUCUCUCUUUCUCUCCUUCCCUCUUUUGUCUUCUUUCUUCUCAAACCCUAAAAAUAUCUGAACAAAUCUCCGCCGUCGCACACCCAGAUCGCGUCGGGACUCCCAUCCCCGUCGUCACCUCUUUCUCAUUCCACCACUGAUUUCGGUUCAUCAACAAACCCUAACACUACCGCCACCCUCAUUUCUCCGCCAUAGAUUGAUCCCUUUCUUCUGCAAAUUUCUCUAAGUGUAUCACAUCCAUUUACUACCCAAUAUUUUCAUUCCUGAACAUUAGAGAUCUACAAAUAUCAACGAAGAAUAAAUGAAAGUUGCGAGAUGGUGAAGUUACAACAAGACAGAUCCGUUUAGUUGAUUCUUGCAGUAGUGGAAAACAACAAGAUUUAUGGAUUUACAUUAGAGAGGAGAAAAAAUGGAAUAGGCAGAGGGAAUAUUUCAUCAUCAUUCAUGGAUCUGUGCAAGUGGCAAUAUCAUGGGUCUGUGUUGUUGAUUGUCUCUCACCUCUAGCAUGGAUUGCAUUUACCAAGAAGGAUGGUUGUAAGUGAAGGGUGUCGCGUGGUUAUUUUUUAAGUUGAAUCUUUAUCUUUUGGUGUCUUAUAACUCCUAUGUUUUCUAUGUCUUGCUUGAAUACUUAUCACUAGAUAUUUUCCUCUAGUAUGAUAUUAUGUGUCUGUUAAUUAGAUAUUUUUUAGUGACCAGUUUAUAUGUUCAUUGAUAAUUUUGUUUUAAGGAACCUGCUGAAUUUUUAGAAUUUGCUGCUUGACAUGUUCAUUUGUUUUCCAUUAUGAACUUUCCAUAUUGAAACUUCAUGGUCUGUCAAAGAUGACGUUACAAGAAGCUUUCAAUCUAGCUCAUGCUUUCAGUCAUUAUCUUACUAUGAUGGGUAUAGCUGAAACUCACCAUAGAUUGAUCGUUAUGUGGCAGAGAUGAAGAAGACAACGAAAACGAAAGCAAAACUAAUGCUUUUGGAAAGAGGAAGGCAACUGUUCCUUUGCAUCUACUUGGCUGUCAUGUUGGCUUCAACAAUGCAGUAUUUUUUUGUUAUUCUAAGUGUAUGUUGCAUUUUCAGGGUGUAUCAAGACAUUGUAGUCUUCUUGCUGUUUUUGUUAGUGAAUUACAUGACAGUUAGCAGAAGCAGAAACAGGAUACUGAUUCCAAGGAUAAAUUCUCGUCGUAACCCUUUAUGGAGCUUUCUUUGUCCGGGCGGCUUGAGGAGUUAAACAUAAAAAAACACACUAAAAGCUCCUCACCGAUGAGACAUUUACUAGGGAUGACCUUAUAACUAAUCAGAAUUCUAAUGCACUUGACCAGAAGGUAAGGCAUGAUACAACAUGUAGCUCAUCCAUCUUUUCUAAUCUACUGAUCCCAUGCUGGUCCUUGAUAUUGGUGCUUUCGUUGGUGCUACUUUUAGUAGCUUUAUGAACUUCUGUUUUCUUUACUCAUAACUAUAGAAAAUGAGUUCGGAUCCAACCUUUAACAUAAACAAGUCGAGUGAUAUCAAGCAAAUGCUUAAGGAGCUUGGAACUGAGGAAGGAAAUUGCAUUGCACGGGGGAGGUGGUGGCAAGGCACAAAAGAAAAGGCCGCUGCACUUGGUGUCAUCUUAGUUGCAAGGUCACAAGUUAAAGACGAUUCCAAAUUGAAUCCUGACGCAGCCCUCGGGAACUUAGUAUUGUAAAUGUUGUAUCUGCCUUAUUACAUGGAAGAAGCACAACUACUGCUAAAGCCUCAUCAAGCGAUAAAACUGCUACUGGAAUAGCUAUGCAUGUGGCUGGUGACAGAAAUUCACAAUUUUGAAAAGUUCAGUCAAAAAUUGUUUGUUCUAAUUGCACCAUUGCACUAGGUGACUUGGCAGUAAGGUUUCCCAAUCUUUUAGACACUUAUGCAAUCAUUUGUUUAUCAGGUGAAAGGGUACAUUAAUGAAAUGGCAAUUAGAUUAGAAGGCAAAUAUGAGAAAAUUUCAAAUCUCGCGAAGUUAUUUUUUCUUGAACUUUCCAAUAAAGGUUUUUCCUUAUAA